CCCGUGGAGCUCAACGAGUCGGAGCCUGUGGUGGUCUACGCCAAGGAGUAUCUGGAGCAGGUCUCCGACCUCAUCCUCGCCACGGAUAAAUGCCUCCUCAACAACUACAUGAUCUGGAACCUGGUGCGGAAAACCAGCCCCUUCCUCGACCAGCGCUUCCAGGACGCUGAGGAGAAAUUCAUGGAAGUGAUGUACGGGACGAAGAAGACCUGCCUCCCGCGCUGGAAGUUUUGCAUCAGCGACACGGACAACAACCUGGGCUUCGCCUUGGGGGCCAUGUUCGUCAAGGCCACCUUCGCCGAGGACAGCAAGCAAG
Struthio camelus australis is the source of this 316-nucleotide non-coding RNA. The record is from RefSeq and is a predicted model, not a curated record. NCBI's taxonomy places the organism in Eukaryota, Metazoa, Chordata, Aves, Struthioniformes, Struthionidae.